RNAcentral lists this ribosomal RNA (997 nucleotides) under uncultured bacterium. RNAcentral's name for it is "bacterial SSU rRNA". It matches the Rfam family "Bacterial small subunit ribosomal RNA", at positions 542 to 1533 of the family's 1533-position model. The record is from RNAcentral.
UAUCGGGAAUUAUUGGGCGUAAAGCGUCCGCAGGCGGCCCAUCAAGUCUGCUGUUAAAAAGUGGAGCUUAACUCCAUCAUGGCAGUGGAAACUGUUGGGCUAGAGUGUGGUAGGGGCAGAGGGAAUUCCCGGUGUAGCGGUGAAAUGCGUAGAUAUCGGGAAGAACACCAGUGGCGAAGGCGCUCUGCUGGGCCAUAACUGACGCUCAUGGACGAAAGCCAGGGGAGCGAAAGGGAUUAGAUACCCCUGUAGUCCUGGCCGUAAACGAUGAACACUAGGUGUCGGGGGAAUCGGCCCCCUCGGUGUCGUAGCCAACGCGUUAAGUGUUCCGCCUGGGGAGCACGCACGCAAGUGUGAAACUCAAAGGAAUUGACGGGGGCCCGCACAAGCGGUGGAGUAUGUGGUUUAAUUCGAUGCAACGCGAAGAACCUUACCAGGGUUUGACAUCCUGCGAAUUUCUGGGAAACCGGAAAGUGCCUUCGGGAGCGCAGUGACAGGUGGUGCAUGGCUGUCGUCAGCUCGUGUCGUGAGAUGUUGGGUUAAGUCCCGCAAUGAGGGCAACCCACGUCUUUAGUUGCCAGCAUUCAGUUGGGCACUCUAGAGAGACCGCCGGUGAUAAACCGGAGGAAGGUGUGGAUGACGUCAAGUCAUCAUGCCCCUUACAUCCUGGGCUACACACGUACUACAAUGCUACGGACAAAGGGCAGCAAACUCGCGAGAGCUAGCAAAUCCCAUAAACCGUGGCUCAGUUCAGAUCGUAGGCUGCAACUCGCCUACGUGAAGGAGGAAUCGCUAGUAAUCGCAGGUCAGCAUACUGCGGUGAAUACGUUCCCGGGCCUUGUACACACCGCCCGUCACACCAUGGAAGUUGGCCACGCCCGAAGCCGUUACUCCAACCCUUGUGGAGGAGGACGUCGAAGGUGGGGCUGAUGACUGGGGUGAAGUCGUAACAAGGUAGCCGUACCGGAAGGUGCGGCUGGAUCACCUCCUUUCUAAU